Molecule: small nuclear RNA, 18 nt
Filed under: Arabidopsis thaliana (thale cress)
Lineage: Eukaryota; Viridiplantae; Streptophyta; Magnoliopsida; Brassicales; Brassicaceae
Description: snRNA_03134
Source: RNAcentral
AGUGGCAGAGUGGCCUUG